CCUACGGGAGGCAGCAGUGAGGAAUAUUGGUCAAUGGACGAGAGUCUGAACCAGCCAAGUAGCGUGAAGGAUGACUGCCCUAUGGGUUGUAAACUUCUUUUAUAUGGGAAUAAAACGUUCCACGUGUGGGAUUUUGUAUGUACCAUAUGAAUAAGGAUCGGCUAACGCCGUGCCAGCAGCCGCGGUAAUACGGAGGAUCCGAGCGUUAUCCGGAUUUAUUGGGUUUAAAGGGAGCGUAGGUGGAUUGUUAAGUCAGUUGUGAAAGUUUGCGGCUCAACCGUAAAAUUGCAGUUGAAACUGGCAGUCUUGAGUACAGUAGAGGUGGGCGGAAUUCGUGGUGUAGCGGUGAAAUGCUUAGAUAUCACGAAGAACUCCGAUUGCGAAGGCAGUUCACUGGACUGCAACUGACACUGAGGCUCGAAAGUGUGGGUAUCAAACAGGAUUAGAUACCCCAGUAGUC
RNAcentral lists this ribosomal RNA (460 nucleotides) under uncultured bacterium. Its description in RNAcentral is "partial 16S ribosomal RNA". It matches the Rfam family "Bacterial small subunit ribosomal RNA", at positions 338 to 795 of the family's 1533-position model. The record is from RNAcentral.